CUGUGUGAAAUUAGACCUUCUGAAUCCAACUUUUCCCAGCCACCUUUUUUUUUUUAAGCAUAAUCUGCAUACCUGAUUCUUCCUAGAUGUGGGACGAGAACUUGGGAGCCACCAAAUGGCAGAACUAAAACAGCUGUAACACAAACAGGUCUGAAACAUGACCAUGCUUGCCUCAUUGCCAGCAAUGCGAAAGAGAGAAGAGAGAAGGAGCGAAGAACUGUGGCCCUUCAGAGAGCCCAAACCCAGGAGCUCCCCAAGGCAGGCCUAUGACACCCUCUUUGGGGCUCUGCAGUUCCUGGCAUUGCCAGGCUUCUGGACACCACCAGGUUCCCAGUGCUCACAGUGGAAACACAGUGCUCACAGUAUGCCUGGUCCAGCCACAGCCUCACAGGCAGUCAGCGCCUAUGCUGGUGCUGCCACAGCCAGUACACCUGGCUAUGCACAGUGGCCAGACCCUGUGCUCACUCAGACACCCCUUGCCACUCCACGCCUCGCUUAUCCUUCACAGACGUGGGAUCCAGGCCAGUAGCAUGAGCCAAGCACAGCCUGAUGGGCUGAGUGGGCAGAAUGAGCCCAGCAGCCCAAGCAAAACUCAGGCAAAGGUGCCACUGGACACAGGGGAUUCUGGCUGGAGAAGGAAUACCCUAAGGAUCCCGUGACAAUAAUAUUUUAUGUUCUUUCUUAGAGUCUCUUAGAAAAUAUUAUCUUGUAUUCAGGCACUAUUUUACAAUGUUUUAAAAGUUCCAAU
Molecule: long non-coding RNA, 748 nt
Organism: Homo sapiens (human)
Lineage: Eukaryota; Metazoa; Chordata; Mammalia; Primates; Hominidae
Source: Ensembl